CACUGUAUUUUAUACAAAUAUAUCAUGCUUACAAGGGGUAUUUGCCAAAAAUACCGGUUGAGAGGUACAAAUUUCCAGAGCCGUUAGGCGAGGGAAAUUUGAUUACCUCGAAACCGGUAUUUUUGGCAAAUACCCCUUGUAAGCAUGAUAUAAUUGUUUAAUUCCACCGAAUGUUCCACCUCAGAGAGUUUAUUAUAAUCAAGUAUCAUAUGAAAUUUCGACUUGAAUGUAUAAUUUUUGUAUACACUGCAGCUGAGCUAUUGUGGAUUCCAGUUUUAUGUGACCGGUUGACAAUUCGUUGAGUUUUAUUUAUGACGUCAUUCCCGGAAUUUUUACGUCAAUUGGUCAAAAUUCAAUAAUGAUGCUUUUUAUCCUAAAUAUUUCAUCUGGAACCAUAUAUUUAGAAUGACCAUGAAUUUGUCAUAUUAGAACAGAAAUAAUUCAUUGAGUUAUUUUUAGACAUGGUAUUCCCCAUCUGCCAUGGUAUUUGCUAGGGUAUUUCCCAUCUGCCAUGGAAUUU
This 520-nucleotide long non-coding RNA is filed under the name Mytilus galloprovincialis (Mediterranean mussel). The record is from RNAcentral. Lineage: Eukaryota; Metazoa; Mollusca; Bivalvia; Mytilida; Mytilidae.